GCUCUCAGAAGAAGGUGAGAAUCUCACCAAGUAUGCAUGAAAAGUCCAAGUGAGCAUACCCCUUUCUGCAAAUGAGAGGGAGGUAGAGAGAGAUUAUUCAAACACUGUGAUGGUAUCUCAAAACACAUAUUUCAGUGUAACAAAAAUGCACUUGUCUUAACUGCUCUUUUCCUGACUCCUUAGCCAGAGCAACCAAUAUAUAGCAAUUACGGCAAUCACAACAACCAAUAUCAAUCAUGAACAUCACAUUUAAACCAUACACUUACAGAUUUAGCAAUACAAUCUUUGAAAUGGUAAUGGCAACCCAAGACACUUCACCUAAAAAAAAAUUAUACAUAUAUAUAUAUCAUGUCUUCUUCUUUCUCGUGAACUCUUAUUUUUUCUUACCGAACAUACCAACAUUUAAAUUUAUCAAAUGACCGCAACAUACUCAACGAACGAAACCUCAAUUGUUACUAGAUUGUUAAUGGGUAAAUAACUCAAUGACAUAGCAUUCAAGUCAAACGUUUCUUUAAACAUCACACUGUCGCUAAUUGCAUACAGGGGGUCAAAAAUUGCAUAAACUGUAUGCAAUUGCAUAAAAACUAUAUGCAAUUGCACAUAAGAAAUAAUAUAGCCAAAACCAAAACCAGUUAUGAGGUUUCUUAGUUAAAGAACUCAUCUUUCUCUUUUGAUGCCAACCUCAGUUCUCCACUAACAAGCCCGAAAACUCCAAUUGGAUUCAUCAUGACCAGAGUUCUUGAGUAAUAAAACAAAUUUCAAAUUGAAAAAAAAAAAAAAAAAGUAGGAAGAAAAUUCAAGAAUCCAAGACUUUAAAGAAAAUCAACAACCUGAUUGUUCAAAAUUUCAUACCUUAUUUUGAAGCACAAAUCCAUAACCUCAUACAUGGAAGAAAACAAAUCCUCCAUAAAACGAAAAUUACAUGGGUUUGAUGGAGAAAGGAUCACAGUGGGUCUGAUGCUGUGAUGAAAUUAAGAGAAAAUAUUAAAAUAUUAAAAUAUUAAAAAUUAUUAAAAGAGGGAAAAAAAAUCACCAAGAUUCAGUCCAAGGCGUUGAAUUUUUUCUCCCAUCAAAGGCUCUGCAACACAGACAUCCUCACUCCAGAUUCAAUACUAAGUCGUUGAAUUUCUACCCAAAUAAAGGCCUUUCACACCACCCCCGUCGAACUCGACUGAAUCACCCACUCUGUCUCCUCUCCGAUGGUUCUUGCAUCGCAGUGUCGGCAGAGAGGAGAUGCAUCAGAUUCCAACUUGGGGACAAAGAUGAGGAUUGGAUUUGAGAGAGAGAGAAAGAGAGAUAUAUUGCAAAGAUGAAGCAGCUCCCAGUGCACGCGAUGUCCGAUGACUGUUGCAUCUCAGCGUCGGCAGAAGUGAGACGCCCAGAUUCUGAUUUGGGGACAUAGAUGAGGAUUGGAUUUCCAAGAGAGAGAGAUCGAUCCCAGAGAUAAGCAGGUCCAAUGCACGCCAGGGCUUCCGCACGUUCGUUGAAGCUUUUCACUUGUUUUCUCAGUCACGUGUAUGUCACGUGAUAUUUAAUAACAAAGGGCUCAACAAGUCUUCAGGUCAUUCAAUCUCAACCCUUUAUUUUUAAGAUGCAAUACUGACCCUUGGAUAACGGGCUGUACCGAUACAGCUGAGGCACCACAGAAUUUUCC
RNAcentral lists this long non-coding RNA (1654 nucleotides) under Prunus persica (peach). RNAcentral describes it as "long non-coding RNA (PPER_LNC008513)". Lineage: Eukaryota; Viridiplantae; Streptophyta; Magnoliopsida; Rosales; Rosaceae. The record is from RNAcentral.